Molecule: non-coding RNA, 31 nt
Organism: Schistosoma mansoni
Lineage: Eukaryota; Metazoa; Platyhelminthes; Trematoda; Strigeidida; Schistosomatidae
Source: Rfam
GACGUGUCCCAAAUAGGACGAAACGCGCGUC